RNAcentral lists this transfer RNA (27 nucleotides) under Arctocephalus australis (South American fur seal). RNAcentral's name for it is "partial tRNA-Glu". Lineage: Eukaryota; Metazoa; Chordata; Mammalia; Carnivora; Otariidae. The record is from RNAcentral.
CCAUCGUUGUUAUUCAACUAUGAGAAC